GCCUAACAUCUAGCCCACACCACCCACAUGAACCUUUUUCCUACACCCCACGUACGCAACAAAACAUUUUAUCUCUUUAGUACAGGCGAUCGAAAAACUUAUAGGCGCUUCAGAUUAAGUACCGCAAGGGAAAGAUGAAAUAAAAAUGAAAUAAUUUUAAAGCCCCAAACAGCAGAGAUAUACCCUCGUACCUUUUGCAUCAUGGUCUAGCUAGUCUAACCAAGCAAAAUGUGAACUUUAGUUUGACACCCCGAAACUAAGUGAGCUACUUCGAAACAGCCCUAAGGGGCCAACCCGUCUCUGUUGCAAAAGAGUGGGAAGAUUUUUAAGUAGAGGUGAUAAGCCUACCGAACUUAGAGAUAGCUGGUUAUUCAGGAGAAGAGUUUUAGCUCUGCCUUAAGUUUUUUUAAUUAACUCAAACAAAUCUUUAAACUUAAGAGUUAUUCAAGUAAGGUUCAGCUUACUUGAAACAGGAUACAACCUCCAAUAUUGGGUAAAUAAAGGAAACCUAGAUAAAGUGGGCCUAAAAGCAGCCACCUUAUGAAAAGCGUUGAAGCUUAAUCACUGUUUCACCUAUAAUUUCUUGAUUCCUUAUUAACCCCUCACCCCUACUGAAUCAUUUUAUAACGUUAUAAAAAUUAUUAUGCUAGAACUAGUAACAAGAAACUGCCUUUCUCCUGAAUGUCAGCCAGAACCGAAAUAAACCCUGUCGGUAUUUAACGUAAAUGCUUUAAAUAUAGUAACCCGCAACUAGAAAACCCUAUUAUUUUUAACGUCAACCUUACACCAGAACAUUACAGGAAAGAUAAAAGAAAGAGAAGA
RNAcentral lists this ribosomal RNA (822 nucleotides) under Sanguirana luzonensis (Luzon frog). RNAcentral's name for it is "partial 16S ribosomal RNA". The stretch from base 206 to 651 matches the Rfam family "Bacterial large subunit ribosomal RNA", at positions 619 to 1301 of the family's 2925-position model. Lineage: Eukaryota; Metazoa; Chordata; Amphibia; Anura; Ranidae. The record is from RNAcentral.